Molecule: ribosomal RNA, 36 nt
Filed under: Aspergillus flavus
Lineage: Eukaryota; Fungi; Ascomycota; Eurotiomycetes; Eurotiales; Aspergillaceae
Description: partial 18S ribosomal RNA
Source: RNAcentral
UUCCCUUCCGUAGGUGAACCUGCGGAAGGAUCAUUA